GUCUGGGCGGGUGUGCGCGAGGCGGGCGAGCUGCGUGUGCGUGUGCGUGUGCAGCGAGUGUGCGAGCGGGGAGCGUGUGUGCGCGUGUGAGUGUGCGUGCGCGAGGCGCCGUGUCUGCGGUGCAGGCGCCGCCGGGAGCCGACCGGCGGGGGUCCCCGGGCCCGCAGCGCGGGCCGGCAGGUGCGGCGGGCGGAGCGCAGGGGACCCGCGAGCGCGGGAGAAGGAAGUCGCUGUAAGUGCCUGAACUUGCGCAGGGCCGCGGGGCGCUCGGGGCUGGGGAGGGGGCGGGCAGGGCGCAGGGAGGGGCGCGGGGUCUCCGCCGCGACUUCCCGAAGAGGCGUGCGCUGCGUCCCCGUGGCUCCCGUCCUCGCAGGGUACAGAAUCAUCACCAGCCAGCAGCUCUGUCACUGGACCGGGGGUGUGAAUACCAGCGUACACCACUGUGACAAUGGCAGCUGCGUGCGUGUCAUCCUCACCGUGAACUGGAGUGACUGUGGGCUGCCGCCUGGCUCCAGGCCCGGGCUCCUCGCUCCCCUCCAUACUCAGGCCUGCACACUCCUGGAGCUUUCUCUCAGUCUGGGAGGCCACUUCUCUGACCCUAAUUCCCAUCUUCACACAAGAAGUUCCAGGCCAUAAGAAAUAAGCUGAAGUCUGAGCUCCUCUGCAACCUCAUCCACAGUAAGCAAAGUGAAACAUGAUCAUUUCACAGAAUUAAAGACUGGGAAGAGCUUCUGAUUUAGGGAGAACAAUUUUUAAAAUGGAUUUGUAUGCAUAACACCCAUUGCGGUUGGUGAUAGUGGAGUCAGUGACUAAUAAAAAUGUCAUUUCCUGUGAUUUUUAUAAAUUACAGUAAAUAUGCCAGUAAUCAUCCACAUUAGCUGCUCAAAUGCAGGCAGCCAUCUGGAGUAGAGGCCAGGGGACCUCAUUGAAGCCUCAAGAGGUAGACCCCACAGGUGCAAAUUGACACCCAGGAAAACAGUAGUUAAUACUCUAGAAUUUGGAGAAAAAGAGAAUGUUAAAAUAAAUGUAUGUCAAGCAGACAAAUUUGGACUUCGCCAGGAGGAUCUGUCACGUCAAACAGGAAAUAGCUAUAAAUUACUUGUAAUAGUAAAAAUCUUGUCAUUUAUA
Molecule: long non-coding RNA, 1128 nt
Filed under: Canis lupus familiaris (dog)
Lineage: Eukaryota; Metazoa; Chordata; Mammalia; Carnivora; Canidae
Description: lncRNA (ENSCAFG00000040518.3, ENSCAFG00845022339.1)
Source: RNAcentral